Molecule: RNase P RNA, 423 nt
Filed under: Bdellovibrionales bacterium
Lineage: Bacteria; Pseudomonadati; Bdellovibrionota; Bdellovibrionia; Bdellovibrionales
Description: RNase P RNA component class A
Rfam family: Bacterial RNase P class A
About the family: Ribonuclease P (RNase P) is a ubiquitous endoribonuclease, found in archaea, bacteria and eukarya as well as chloroplasts and mitochondria. Its best characterised activity is the generation of mature 5'-ends of tRNAs by cleaving the 5'-leader elements of precursor-tRNAs.
Source: RNAcentral
AGAGUUUUCCCGGCGGACGCGGAGGCAAUGCUUUACGCUCCUUCGAGGAAAGUCCGGACACCAAGGGCCACCGUAGCGGGUAACACCCGUCCAACGUGAGUUGCGGACCAGCGCAACAGAAAGGAAGUACAGGGCCUUGCCCCACUCCUUGGCAAAGAAUGGGGCCGGCGGCAUGCCACAGGUUACGACUUUUAACUGCCGCCAGCUGCUGUAGUGAAAUCAGGUAAGCUCUACGGGGUGCAAGAUCAAACAGGGGAGGAAGAAUCUCUUCCGCGCGGCCCACGCGAGUUCCCCGGGUAGAUCGCUUGAGCUUGUCGGCAACGGCAAGACUAGACGAAUGUCCGUCAUGGACCUUUCAAGAGAUGUUUUCGAAGCCUUUCUUGAAAGUCCAAACAGAAUCCGGCUUACGGGAAAACUCUCCUU